This 354-nucleotide long non-coding RNA is filed under the name Mytilus galloprovincialis (Mediterranean mussel). The record is from RNAcentral. Lineage: Eukaryota; Metazoa; Mollusca; Bivalvia; Mytilida; Mytilidae.
GAAAACAUUUACUAGAGAUAAUUUUAUAGGAGUUGAAUUCAAUCAAUACAAAACGGUUUAUGCAUAUUCAUUUUCGUUCAUUCUUAUAUUGUGGUUAAUAACUACGACCGUUCGUCAGCUGUGCGCUUUGAAUUACGUAUAUUGUCGAUAAGCUAUAAGAGUUAAACAGAUUUUAUUUUUUCCCAGAAUUCAACAAAUCGGGCUAAAACGUCACGACCCACUCGAGAAUUCAACCAAAAAAAUUACAAAUACAUGAUUUUCUCCGUUAUUAGAAGGAAUAUAAAUUUAAAACUUUGCAAAUGUGUUUUUUAUGUUAAGAUGAACAUAAUUAGAUGAUAAGUAAAAAAUCGCGGA